This is a long non-coding RNA of Eurytemora carolleeae, 163 nucleotides long. RefSeq lists it as uncharacterized. Lineage: Eukaryota; Metazoa; Arthropoda; Copepoda; Calanoida; Temoridae. The record is from RefSeq and is a predicted model, not a curated record. The transcript has 2 exons.
CUGUUCUUUAAUUGCAUCUUUAUUGCAAAUUCAUCUCUUCAUCUGUGGUUCUGCCCGGAAAAUUCGGAAGAGUCUUGCGAAUCUAUCAGUGCCACAGAGCUCUCUAUUUUCAAGAGUGGAACUUAUAUAUUUGUAUUUAAAGUAAUAAAUUAUUGUUCAGUUA